UACGGAGGAUCCAAGCGUUAUCCGGAUUUAUUGGGUUUAAAGGGUGCGUAGGCGGAUUGAUAAGUUAGAGGUGAAAUGUCCGAGCUCAACUCGGGAACUGCCUCUAAUACUGUUGAUCUAGAGAGUAGAUGCGGUAGGCGGAAUGUAUGGUGUAGCGGUGAAAUGCUUAGUGAUCAUACAGAACACCGAUUGCGAAGGCAGCUUACCAAUCUAUAUCUGACGUUGAGGCACGAAAGCGUGGGUAUCGAACAGG
Molecule: ribosomal RNA, 253 nt
Filed under: uncultured bacterium
Lineage: Bacteria
Description: partial 16S ribosomal RNA
Rfam family: Bacterial small subunit ribosomal RNA
Source: RNAcentral